UUAUCGUAUCGCUUCGUCUCUCGGAGGUGUCCUAAGUGGUCAUGUAUACCUAGGUCACAUCCCAAAUUCAGGUGCCUCUUGUCCAGACGGCGUCUUCAAGUACAACUCCGAUGGACAAAGAGGUACACCCCUUAGAUUUAUUGAACAUUCUUGUAGAGUACAACCACCUCGCAUCUAUGAAAACCAAGACAUUAACAUCCAGUUCGUUGGUUCGAGGAAUUGUGAUAAUUUUAUAAAUUGGAAAGUGGGAGAAUACAAUGCAACACUAGAGGCAAGUUUGUUUGGGACUCGUGGAGGAACGAUAGGAAGAGCAGAUAGUAGUUGGUU
Molecule: long non-coding RNA, 327 nt
Organism: Solanum verrucosum
Lineage: Eukaryota; Viridiplantae; Streptophyta; Magnoliopsida; Solanales; Solanaceae
Exons: 2
Source: RefSeq, a predicted model, not a curated record